GUUGCUAUAAUUAAGUAAACUUUAACAUAAAGUCGUUCUAGCUGAUUGUCGAAGAAAAACAAGAAAAGUUAACCGACCGAUCCGAAAACUGUUUAAUUUUAUUGGCAAGUCUGUUAAGGCUUCAGCUUACGGCUCUGAAGGAUCCGGAAUCGAAUGCCAGCGAUCGAAAUAACCACAGGAAUUUUUUCGGGGGUGGCCUGUCUCGGAUAUGUCGGGCCUUGUCUCUCAUUACUUAUCCACCCUAUUGUGGGCCUGUGAGAAAUGUUUUCUGGGAUGAAAGAAUUCUUUUAAAAAGUGCCAUUUUAUUAUCAUCGGUAAAUUUUGACGGUUUCUAAAUAUUUUAAAACCGUCAAACUUCAUAAAUAAAACGGAAAGAUAAAUAUAUUUUUUCCUCUUUAU
Centruroides sculpturatus (bark scorpion) is the source of this 399-nucleotide long non-coding RNA. RefSeq lists it as uncharacterized. Lineage: Eukaryota; Metazoa; Arthropoda; Arachnida; Scorpiones; Buthidae. The transcript has 3 exons. The record is from RefSeq and is a predicted model, not a curated record.